RNAcentral lists this long non-coding RNA (1416 nucleotides) under Chrysemys picta bellii (western painted turtle). RNAcentral's name for it is "lncRNA (ENSCPBG00000010379.1)". Lineage: Eukaryota; Metazoa; Chordata; Testudines; Emydidae. The record is from RNAcentral.
GAAAACUUGUUCACCUUAGCCUCUAAGGAUAGAACAAGAAGCAAUGGGUUUANNNNNNNNNNGUACUAGUCGACGAGCGAGGGACUGGACUCGAUGACCUCUCGAGGUCCCUUCCAGUCCUAGAAUCUAUGAAUCUAUGAAUCUUUUCUAGCAACCAGAAGCAGCUGAUAUUGUCUCCUCAGUUGGCAACUGCAAUUGUCAGGUUUGCUUUUUAUAGCGGUCCCAAGAAUGGUACAUCUUUUCAGAGAGAAAUAUAGGCUAGUUCAUUUCCCCACAUAACAUCUGAAUAAUGCAAACAUAGUCCAAGAAAUCAAAAGGCUUCUAACUAUAGCGAACAGAAACAACACUAAAGAGGUAUUAUAACUACGCAGUUUCUUUUUCUGCUGCUGCAGUGAUGAUCAUGAUGGAGGGUAUUGUCUUAGCUGGCUUCUUUCUCUUGUGUCCACAACAGCUCUUGGAUAUGAUCCAUUCCACCUGGUAUCACAGUCUGAGCCAUGCUGGAGAACAUGAGAGAAAGAAGGAGGUGCAUCUUUCCAGUGACAGUGUCUGAGGAGUCUCGGAGCAGACAUAAUGACUCCAGUGACUCUGUACCACCCAAGAAUCCCACUCUGCUGUGGGAGUUCUUCCCUGGCUGGAUUUACAAGGCCCUGAGCCAGAUAUAAGCAGCUCCCACAGACAAGCAAACUGAGGUACACAGCUAUCAAAUGUAAGCAGUAUUGUGGUUGCCCACUUUAGUUCUCUCUUCUUCCCUGUCAGAAAAUUAAGAACUGCAAAAUGUUAAGGACCCUCAACACCCAGGUGUAAGAAGGUUUGGUCCCUAAAAUUUUAAUUUGCUAAUGUAACAUGUUGCAGUGUGAAAUAUCACAGAAGUUCCAGAGGGAACACAAAGUUUUGAAUCUUAUUAGUCUUUGUAUUACAUUAGUGCUCAAAUCAGAAUUGUGGUCCCAUUGUGCCAUGAGUUGUGUAAACAUAAAUGAAGCAUUAUCCCUGCUCUGAAUAAUUUACUCUCUAAAUAGAAAGGACAGAAACAGAAAAACUCUUCCACUGACUUUGCCUCAAGGAAUUUUUUCACAACCCACAACCACCACAUCCCCAUCAACAAUCAUAAAAAAAAUAGAAUCAGCUGACUGGAUGCCCCCAGCAGACAAAACCCCACACUGGAUCAGUACAUCAAUUGCUUCAGGAAAAUAAUCAACUGUGAAAGCCUCAACAAAUGUUACAUCCAUAACAAUCUCUCCACCCCCGAGAGGACAACUAUUCAGUACUAAAAAAAUCCAGUCAUCAGAGAGUGAUCAAAAUAGCAGACAAAGGGGAUGCCAUCAUAGUAGUUAAUCAUGAUGACUACAACAACAAAGCCAACAGACAACUCUCGAACACAAGCUACUACAGUAAAAGCUUUCUUAUCUGGCAUGUUGU